RNAcentral lists this ribosomal RNA (520 nucleotides) under uncultured Glomeromycotina. RNAcentral's name for it is "SSU rRNA". It matches the Rfam family "Eukaryotic small subunit ribosomal RNA", at positions 569 to 1085 of the family's 1831-position model. The record is from RNAcentral. Lineage: Eukaryota; Fungi; Glomeromycota.
AGCAGCCGCGGUAAUUCCAGCUCCAAUAGCGUAUAUUAAAGUUGUUGCAGUUAAAAAGCUCGUAGUUGAAUUUCGGGGUUAGUAGAUUGGUCAUGCCUCUGGUAUGCACUGGUCUUACUGAUUCCUCCUUCCUGAUGAACCGUAAUGCCAUUAAUUUGGUGUUGCGGGGAAACUGGACUGUUACUUUGAAAAAUUAGAGUGUUUAAAGCAGGCUAACGCUUGAAUACAUUAGCAUGGAAUAAUGAAAUAGGACGUUCGAUCUUAUUUUGUUGGUUUCUUAGGAUUGACGUAAUGAUUAAUAGGGAUAGUUGGGGGCGAUUAGUAUUCAAUUGUCAGAGGUGAAAUUCUUGGGUUUAUUGAAGACUAACUACUGCGAAAGCAUUUGCCAAGGAUGUUUUCUAUUAAUCAAGAAACGAAAGUUAAGGGGAGUCGAAGACGAUCAGAUACCGUCGUAGUCUUAACCUAUAAACUAUGCCGACGUAGGGAGUCGGAUGAUGUUAAUUUUUUAAUUAGUACUCUA